This 497-nucleotide ribosomal RNA is filed under the name uncultured bacterium. RNAcentral describes it as "partial 16S ribosomal RNA". It matches the Rfam family "Bacterial small subunit ribosomal RNA", at positions 28 to 507 of the family's 1533-position model. The record is from RNAcentral.
GAUGAACGCUGGCGGCGUGCCUAAUACAUGCAAGUCGAGCGAACAGACGAGGAGCUUGCUCCUCUGACGUUAGCGGCGGACGGGUGAGUAACACGUGGAUAACCUACCUAUAAGACUGGGAUAACUUCGGGAAACCGGAGCUCAUACCGGAUAAUAUAUUGAACCGCAUGGUUCAAUAGUGAAAGACGGUUUUGCUGUCACUUAUAGAUGGAUCCGCGCCGCAUUAGCUAGUUGGUAAGGUAACGGCUUACCAAGGCAACGAUGCGUAGCCGACCUGAGAGGGUGAUCGGCCACACUGGAAGUGAGACACGGUCCAGACUCCUACGGGAGGCAGCAGUAGGGAAUCUUCCGCAAUGGGCGAAAGCCUGACGGAGCAACGCCGCGUGAGUGAUGAAGGUCUUCGGAUCGUAAAACUCUGUUAUUAGGGAAGAACAAAUGUGUAAGUAACUAUGCACGUCUUGACGGUACCUAAUCAGAAAGCCACGGCUAACUACGUG